ACGGUGGGUGAUCUGCCCUGCACUUCGGGAUAAGCCUGGGAAACUGGGUCUAAUACCGGAUAGGAGCCAUUUUUAGUGUGAUGGUUGGAAAGUUUUUUCGGUGUAGGAUGAGCUAGCGGCCUAUCAGCUUGUUGGUGGGGUAAUGGCCUACCAAGGCGGCGACGGGUAGCCGGCCUGAGAGGGUGGACGGCCACAUUGGGACUGAGAUACGGCCCAG
This 217-nucleotide ribosomal RNA is filed under the name uncultured Actinomycetales bacterium. Its description in RNAcentral is "partial 16S ribosomal RNA". It matches the Rfam family "Bacterial small subunit ribosomal RNA", at positions 114 to 334 of the family's 1533-position model. The record is from RNAcentral. Lineage: Bacteria; Bacillati; Actinomycetota; Actinomycetes; Actinomycetales.